This 428-nucleotide unclassified non-coding RNA is filed under the name soil metagenome. RNAcentral describes it as "partial contains 5.8S ribosomal RNA, internal transcribed spacer 2, and large subunit ribosomal RNA". The stretch from base 1 to 120 matches the Rfam family "5.8S ribosomal RNA", at positions 35 to 154 of the family's 154-position model. The record is from RNAcentral.
GAUGAAGAACGCAGCGAAACGCGAUACGUAAUGUGAAUUGCAGAAUUCAGUGAAUCAUCGAAUCUUUGAACGCACCUUGCGCCCCUCGGCAUUCCGAGGGGCAUGCCUGUUUGAGUGUCACGGAUCCUUCGAACCCCGCCGGUCUCCGACGAGCCGGCCGCCUGGGUUCGGUCCUGGGCGCUACGCCACCCCUCCGGGGCUGGCCCGCCUCAAACGCAUCAGCUGGGCCUCGCGGCGUGGGCGGGCUCCGAUCGGCGUGAUAAGUCAUCUGCCGAGAGGGUGCCCGUCCGUCCCGCGGAUCGCGGUCCGCUCCCAACCCCUCCCCGCGCGCCGUCCCCCCCCGGGGAGCGCGCGGGGACGUUUCGACGCUCUGGCCUCAAAUCAGGUAGGACCACCCGCUGAACUUAAGCAUAUCAAUAAGCGGAGGA